GCCCCGGUAGCUCAGUGGAUAGAGCAGCGGACUUCUAAUCCGCAGGUCGUUGGUUCGAAUCCAACCCGGGGUG
Molecule: transfer RNA, 73 nt
Filed under: Solirubrobacterales bacterium
Lineage: Bacteria; Bacillati; Actinomycetota; Thermoleophilia; Solirubrobacterales
Also listed under: 1 other name
Description: tRNA-Arg
Rfam family: tRNA
About the family: Transfer RNA (tRNA) molecules are approximately 80 nucleotides in length. Their secondary structure includes four short double-helical elements and three loops (D, anti-codon, and T loops).
Source: RNAcentral